RNAcentral lists this unclassified non-coding RNA (342 nucleotides) under Zea mays. RNAcentral's name for it is "misc RNA Zm00001eb352730". Lineage: Eukaryota; Viridiplantae; Streptophyta; Magnoliopsida; Poales; Poaceae. The record is from RNAcentral.
CGGAAACCAUGGGAGCCACCAUCACUGAGAACACCAUGCCGUGAGAAGAGAGAGCAGGCAAGGGAGGGAGUUCGGCCGCCGCCUCGAUUCUCCAUCCUCACCGCUGAUCGGCAUUCAGAAUCUAGGGCAAAAGGAGCUGGGAGGAAGGUGGAGUGCGCUCGUGUGGGCUACACGCGAAGGGAGCCUGUGAUCGAGUCUGGAUUCCUCAUUGUCGAUGAACGCCGCGGCGCGCUGCAGAGCGACCUUCUCCUGGUCGUGGAAUCAGACGAGCAAGCACCCGAGGAUCUCGGUACUCAACAGGUAGAAAAUACUGAAUAGGAGCUCGUUGAAGGCAAGUUGUGC